GACGAACGCUGGCGGCGUGCUUAACACAUGCCAGCCGAACGGAAAGGCCCUGCUUUUGUGGGGUGCUCGAGUGGCGAACGGGUGAGUAACACGUGAGUAACCUGCCCUUGACUUUGGGAUAACUUCAGGAAACUGGGGCUAAUACCGGAUAGGAGCUCCUGCUGCAUGGUGGGGGUUGGAAAGUUUCGGCGGUUGGGGAUGGACUCGCGGCUUAUCAGCUUGUUGGUGGGGUAGUGGCUUACCAAGGCUUUGACGGGUAGCCGGCCUGAGAGGGUGACCGGCCACAUUGGGACUGAGAUACGGCCCAGACUGCUACGGGAGGCAGCAGUGGGGAAUAUUGCACAAUGGGCGGAAGCCUGAUGCAGCAACGCCGCGUGCGGGAUGACGGCCUUCGGGUUGUAAACCGCUUUCGCCUGUGACGAAGCGUGAGUGACGGUAAUGGGUAAAGAAGCACCGGCUAACUACGUG
This 468-nucleotide ribosomal RNA is filed under the name uncultured bacterium. RNAcentral's name for it is "partial 16S ribosomal RNA". It matches the Rfam family "Bacterial small subunit ribosomal RNA", at positions 28 to 507 of the family's 1533-position model. The record is from RNAcentral.